Molecule: ribosomal RNA, 250 nt
Filed under: Mesorhizobium sp.
Lineage: Bacteria; Pseudomonadati; Pseudomonadota; Alphaproteobacteria; Hyphomicrobiales; Phyllobacteriaceae
Description: partial 23S ribosomal RNA
Rfam family: Bacterial large subunit ribosomal RNA
Source: RNAcentral
AUCCGGGUUGCGGACAGUGUCUGGUGGGUAGUUUGACUGGGGCGGUCUCCUCCCAAAGAGUAACGGAGGAGCACGAAGGUUAGCUAAUCCUGGUCGGACAUCAGGAGGUUAGUGCAAUGGCAUAAGCUAGCUUGACUGCGAGAGUGACGGCUCGAGCAGGUGCGAAAGCAGGUCAUAGUGAUCCGGUGGUUCUGAAUGGAAGGGCCAUCGCUCAACGGAUAAAAGGUACUCCGGGGAUAACAGGCUGAUA